CACGGGUGAGUAACGCGUAUCCAACCUGCCGUCUACUCUUGGACAGCCUUCUGAAGGAAGAUUAAUACAAGAUGGCAUCAUGAGUCCGCAUGUUCACAUGAUUAAAGGUAUUCCGGUAGACGAUGGGGAUGCGUUCCAUUAGAUAGUAGGCGGGGUAACGGCCCACCUAGUCUUCGAUGGAUAGGGGUUCUGAGAGGAAGGUCCCCCACAUUGGAACUGAGACACGGUCCAA
This 232-nucleotide ribosomal RNA is filed under the name uncultured bacterium. Its description in RNAcentral is "partial 16S ribosomal RNA". It matches the Rfam family "Bacterial small subunit ribosomal RNA", at positions 102 to 334 of the family's 1533-position model. The record is from RNAcentral.